GGAAUCAUGGGGCUUCAGCCUGCUCCUCUUCGGUUUCUGAUGACCUGGGCUAAGAGAGGAUCUUCCUGCUGUGACCCUACUAUGGAUACCUGGCUCUUUUGUUGGACAAUUUUUAAUCUCCUGAAAGCAGUACAUAUGGAAUCUGAAGUCAUACAGAUCCCAAGCCACCAAGUCACAAAGAUGGGACAGAUGGUGAUCCUGAGUUGUGACCCCAUUUUUGGUCAUUCAUUCUUCUAUUGGUACCAACAAAUCUUGGAGCAGAGGCUGGAGUUUCUGGUUUCCUUCUAUAAUGGUAAAACCUUGGAGAAGUCUGAAAUAUUGAAGGAUCGAUUCUCAGUUGAAAAGCCUGAUAAAUCCUACUUCACCUUGAAGAUCCAUCUCACAAAGCUGGAAGACUCAGCCAUGUACCUCUGUGCGAGCAGUUUAACCACAGCCUUGCAAACACACCUCCAGCCCGUGGUCCCUGUUUCUAAGACAUCUGCCACCAUGCUGCCCUUGUUCAACCGAAAAGAUGGAGUCCUAGUGCUUUUGAACCUGGGACCACAAGGAGGAGCUGUGACUCUGUUGAGAUCCAGGAAACUCUGA
Marmota flaviventris (yellow-bellied marmot) is the source of this 585-nucleotide non-coding RNA. NCBI's taxonomy places the organism in Eukaryota, Metazoa, Chordata, Mammalia, Rodentia, Sciuridae. The record is from the annotation of a RefSeq genome assembly.